CCCUUGUGGCUCAGCAUGUUACAAAGCCAACUAGGAUCCAUGAGAAUGCAGGUUCCAUCCCUGGCCUCGAUCUGUGGGUUGAGGAUCCAGCGUUGCCAUGAGCUGUGGUGUAGGUCGAAGACGCGGCUUGGAUCUGGCAUCGCUGUGGCUCUGGCAUAGGCCGGCAGCUAUAGCUGUGAUUGGACCCCUAGCCUGUGAACCUCCAUAUGCAUGGGUACAGCCCUAAAAAGCAAAAAAAAAAAAAAAAGAAAGAAAAAGAAAGAAAGAAAAAAGAAAAAGAAGAAGAAAAGAAAAAAGAGAGAGGGAACAGAUGGAUUUUAGGGCAGUGAAACUACCCUGUGUGAUACUUGGCAUAAACCGUGGACCCUGAUAAUUAUGAUAUAUCCAAGUAGGCUUAUAGAUUGUAACAAAUGUACCACUUGGUGGGGAAUGUUGAAAACAGAGGAGGCUGUGCAUGUGAGGGGGCAAGGGAAAUACGCGAAAUCUCUAUACUUCCUGAUCAGUUUCACUGUGAAUCUCAAACUACUCUAAAAAUCAAUCUAAAGAGUCCAUGAAAGUGUUACAGCAGUUGUAUGUAUUUCACCAUUUUGUUUGAAGGUGACAGAUUGUGCAUCACGCAGCAGCCUUGGUCUUGGUGACACUGAGUUUGUGUAUAGGCAGUUCCUGAGACUGCUCUGCAAAGCCCUCGGUGGCCUGUGCCCUCCACUGCAUUUCUCUACUCCUGGGUCGCGAGGCUCCUCUGCCUUUCCAUUCUCUAAUCCUUCCUGGCUCAUUCCUGCCUCAGGGCCUUUGAACCAGCUGCUUCUUUGGCCUGGAGUGUUCUUCUUCCAUGCCCGCUCCCUGCUAUUAUGAGCAUCCCUUCAAAGAGGCUGCCUAACCACUUGCUCUAAGUCAGCCAUGCCAGCCUUGCUCUGAUUCUGACUUCUCUCAGUGGCAUUUAUCACAAUCUUCUUAUUUAUCUAUCUUCUUAUUUAUCUCCUUGUUAGAAUGUGAGCAUUGUGAGGGAAGGGAAUCUGCCUGCCUUCCUUCCUCCAUCUCUGAACAGGUCUAUCAGGUAUUUAGUACAUGUUAGCUAGUGGAAUGCAUGGCCAAGGUGCAUUUCUCCUCCUGAAAUGCUGGUGCCUGUUAGAGCCAGUGUUCUCCUGGUGACUCUUCCAGGGGGCAGUGUAUAGAGCGCACCCCUUCACCCUCUCCCCCAGAAAACCAGCAGAACACAGCAAAGCAUCACUCUUAUUUACCCUCUCACUUUCUCUGCCUUUUAGUGCCACCCUCCUUUGCCCCUGCCACUCUUCGCAGAAAAGAUCUGUUCCAGAACUGAGUGUUGACUGCUGCAGGGACUACGGUGGGGUUUGCUGUGCUCCCAUCUGCAGACAGUGGGUUUCAUGCUUCCUGGUGCUGGAUCCUAAGAAUGAUUUGCAUCUCCUGAAGGUUGGUUGUCCUGAAACUUCUCUGCUAUCAUCUCUUUUCUAGUUAAGACAUUUCAAAAAUGCCUUAACUCUGGGAAUUUCUAUUUUAUCCUCAGGAGAGACUUAGAUUUCAGACUGUUUCAGGUGAAUAGAUGUUUCCCCACUCAUUGGAUUGUUGUCCUAAAUGACAGCCAAGGAAAGCGGUGACACCAAAAACUUCCCACCAUCUUUGUGGUACUGCCAAAAGACGACACUCGGUAACUGCCUCGGCCAUGCACUAUGAAAAAUUAGUGACACUAAAAUCUAAGAAAUAUCAGGCACCAACAUUACUGAAAUGAUUACUAGCAAAGCUAGUCUGAUUCUAUAGCUAUUUAAACCAAGGUUAAAGAGUUGUAGUAGUUAUAACCCAUUCUCUGCCCACCGUAGAGGAAGGAAGGUUUUGCAUUUAUGAUUGAUAUUGUUUGACUCAAUUCACUGCCUAGACUAACUUGAAUUUAAUUCUGAGGAUAACUUUAUUCUUAAAUAUAAAAAUAGCAGUUCAUUUUUUUUUUUUUGUCUUUUUGUCUUUUCUAGGGCUGCACCCGCAGCAUAUGGAGGUUCCCAGGCUAGGGGUCUAAUCGGAGCUAUAGCUGUCAGCCUACACCACAGCCACAGCAACGUGGAAUCCAAGCCGCAUCUUCGACCUACACCACAGCUCAUGGCAACGCUGGAUCCUUAGCCCACUGAGCAAGGGCAGGGAUCGAACCGGCAACCUCUUAGUUCCUAGUCAGAUUCGUUAACCACUUGAGCCACAACAGGAACUCCAAAAACAGCAGUUCACUUUUAAUGCAAAAGAUUUUUUGCUUCUUCUCUACAGCUAUGAUCACCUUAUGACUGAGACUCAGUCGACUCUUUUGAUGGACAUUUUUUUUUAUCAUUACCAAUUAAUGCAGUACUGGAGCUCCCUUGUG
Molecule: long non-coding RNA, 2356 nt
Filed under: Sus scrofa (pig)
Lineage: Eukaryota; Metazoa; Chordata; Mammalia; Artiodactyla; Suidae
Description: lncRNA (ENSSSCG00060076981.1)
Source: RNAcentral